This 300-nucleotide ribosomal RNA is filed under the name uncultured bacterium. Its description in RNAcentral is "bacterial SSU rRNA". It matches the Rfam family "Bacterial small subunit ribosomal RNA", at positions 774 to 1070 of the family's 1533-position model. The record is from RNAcentral.
AGUGAAUAGAUACCCGGGUAGUCCACGCUGUAAACGAUGAGUGCUGGACGUUGGCGGGUUUACCUGCCGGUGUCGCAGCUAAACGCGUUAAGCACUCCGCCUGGGGAGUACGGCCGCAAGGUUAAAACUCAAAGGAAUUGACGGGGGCCCGCACAAGCGGUGGAGCAUGUGGUUUAAUUCGACGCAACGCGCAGAACCUUACCAGCCCUUGACAUGGGCGGACGGGGUCCAGAGAUGGACUCUUUCUCGCAAGAGACCGCUACACAGGUGCUGCAUGGCUGUCGUCAGCUCGUGUCGUGA